CUACGGGCUGCUGCAGUGAGGAAUUUUGCGCAAUGGGGGAAACCCUGACGCAGCAACGCCGCGUGAGUGAUGAAGGCCUUCGGGUCGUAAAGCUCUGUCAAGUGGGAAGAACCUAUCGAUAUUGAAAAUAUAUUGAUACUGACGGUACCACAAGAGGAAGCACCGGCUAACUCCGUGCCAGCAGCCGCGGUAAUACGGGGGGUGCAAGCGUUAUUCGGAAUCAUUGGGCGUAAAGGGCGCGCAGGCGGCCUUGUAAGUCAGAUGUGAAAGCCCGGGGCUCAACCCCGGAAGGGCAUUUGAAACUAUGAGGCUUGAGUAUGGGAGAGGGAAGUGGAAUUCCUGGUGUAGCGGUGAAAUGCGUAGAUAUCAGGAGGAACACCGGUGGCGAAGGCGACUUCCUGGACCAAUACUGACGCUGAGGCGCGAAGGCGUGGGGAGCAAACAGGAUUAGAUACCCCCGUAGUC
RNAcentral lists this ribosomal RNA (465 nucleotides) under uncultured bacterium. Its description in RNAcentral is "partial 16S ribosomal RNA". It matches the Rfam family "Bacterial small subunit ribosomal RNA", at positions 339 to 795 of the family's 1533-position model. The record is from RNAcentral.